Molecule: long non-coding RNA, 1544 nt
Filed under: Cricetulus griseus (Chinese hamster)
Lineage: Eukaryota; Metazoa; Chordata; Mammalia; Rodentia; Cricetidae
Description: lncRNA (ENSCGRG00015030458.1)
Source: RNAcentral
CCUGUCUCGAAAAAAACCAAAAGAUAAAAAUAAAUCACUGUGUAGACCUGUAGGGAGUAAUCCUGUUUAGAGGUAUUACUUGACCCCGCCUGCUUGGGGCUGGUUAGAGGUACCUCCGACCACGCCCACUUGGGCGUGGUCAGAGUGACAUGGGAAGGGUUUAAGUAGCAGAGAGGUACACUUGCACGUGGCCUUCUUCUCUCUGCUGCCUGGCUGAGCAGACAUCUGCGGGCCACUCCAGCUCCCGCAUAAACCCGAUCACUGGCUCUUGCGGUACCGAUCACUGCUUGUCAGCCCUGGGAUGGAUGGAGAUGUCAAGGCGUGGAUCAUUCCAGAGACUUGAGAAAGCUGAGGCAGGAGGAUUGCCAAGAACUGAGGCCAGCCUGGGCUAUGUGGGAAGUUCCAGCUAACUGAAUCGCAGAGUGAGACCCUAUUUAAAAAGAAAUGUCUGCUUGAAGAAGAUUAAUGUCUCCAUUGUAGCAUUGUGUGACCACCCCAGGAAGGAUCACAUUGGCCAAUCAGCUAAGGCUGUGUUAUUGAGCUUCGGGAGUCUGAAUGAAGGCCCAGGUGGACUGUAAAUAUUCAGUUGGGAGCGUAGUGAAGCUGGGAGGCAGGGUUUCUCUGUGUAACAGCCCUGGCUGUCUUGGAACUUACUCUGUAGACCAGGCUGGCCUCAAACUCAGAGAUCUGCCUGCCUCUGCCUCCUGAGUGUGUGCCAUGUAGCCGCUGGAGAAGCAAGAUGUACGGCUAAUAUGGUUUGAUUGAGCAAGACCCCCAGAGAGGUCUCCAAUGGGAGCUAUAACCCAGAAGAUCCAGCAUCUAGAACAGCUUCCAGGCUACUGGCUGAGAUGGACCAACCAUACAAAAUACCCAAAGUGAGGACUUGACCAAAAUUCUAAAUUUUCUCAGGAUCCCCGUGAGAGUACCAGCACCCCUAAUCAGCAGAAAGUAGUCUUAGAAAACUACACCCAAAUCCCCAAAUAUUGUCUAUAAUUGUUAGUUUUCAUUUAAAGUGGGUUGAUUAUAAAUGGUUAAUGGUCACAAUCAAUCCCUUUCUAAAGAAAAAAAAGGGAAUGUGAUACAGAAAUGAAUACAUUUGUAUGGAUUUUGGUUUAUCUGCUGAACUUGCCAAAAGAAGGUAGGACGGUCUUUCAGGAAUCAUACUCAAAUGAAAGAGUCUGUCAGACAUGCUGUAGGACACAGAAGAAAGCAACUGACAAAUUUUGACAAAAUAGGUGGGACAGUCUGCCAGAAACUCUAGGCCUGUAGGUUGAAGAUAGAUGUCCCAAUGUCAAAAAAAAAACUUUGGGUGACUCUUCAGGCAGCCAGAUAUCUCUGCCAUUUCUAGAGUUUUGGAAGUUGCUUACGAUGCAUUUCCAGUUUACUUAGGUAAUAUUAUAUCCUUCUGGGGUCUUUGAUGGAGUUGAAGUCAGAUAGUUAUAAUUUUCCAUAGUUAUGAUAAAAUACAAAUUAGAUAUAAAACUUUAGAUUCACAAAAAUAAAAUAGAUAAUAAAAUAUUUAAUUUUGCCAAAUACAAAGAGAC